GGGUUGUGAGGUUAAGCGACUAAGCGUACACGGUGGAUGCCCUGGCAGUCAGAGGCGAUGAAGGACGUGCUAAUCUGCGAUAAGCGUCGGUAAGGUGAUAUGAACCGUUAUAACCGGCGAUUUCCGAAUGGGGAAACCCAGUGUGUUUCGACACACUAUCAUUAACUGAAUCCAUAGGUUAAUGAGGCGAACCGGGGGAACUGAAACAUCUAAGUACCCCGAGGAAAAGAAAUCAACCGAGAUUCCCCCAGUAGCGGCGAGCGAACGGGGAGCAGCCCAGAGCCUGAAUCAGUGUGUGUGUUAGUGGAAGCGUCUGGAAAGGCGCGCGAUACAGGGUGACAGCCCCGUACACAAAAAUACACAUACUGUGAGCUCGAUGAGUAGGGCGGGACACGUGGUAUCCUGUCUGAAUAUGGGGGGACCAUCCUCCAAGGCUAAAUACUCCUGACUGACCGAUAGUGAACCAGUACCGUGAGGGAAAGGCGAAAAGAACCCCGGCGAGGGGAGUGAAAAAGAACCUGAAACCGUGUACGUACAAGCAGUGGGAGCACGCUUAGGCGUGUGACUGCGUACCUUUUGUAUAAUGGGUCAGCGACUUAUAUUCUGUAGCAAGGUUAACCGAAUAGGGGAGCCGAAGGGAAACCGAGUCUUAACUGGGCGUUAAGUUGCAGGGUAUAGACCCGAAACCCGGUGAUCUAGCCAUGGGCAGGUUGAAGGUUGGGUAACACUAACUGGAGGACCGAACCGACUAAUGUUGAAAAAUUAGCGGAUGACUUGUGGCUGGGGGUGAAAGGCCAAUCAAACCGGGAGAUAGCUGGUUCUCCCCGAAAGCUAUUUAGGUAGCGCCUCGUGAAUUCAUCUC
Molecule: ribosomal RNA, 862 nt
Filed under: Escherichia coli
Lineage: Bacteria; Pseudomonadati; Pseudomonadota; Gammaproteobacteria; Enterobacterales; Enterobacteriaceae
Description: partial 23S ribosomal RNA
Rfam family: Bacterial large subunit ribosomal RNA
Source: RNAcentral